UCCAAUCGAACUCGGAGAUAGCUGGUUCUCCCCGAAAUAGCUUUAGGGCUAGCGUCGGAUAUGUGUAGUGGAGGUAGAGCACUGAAUGGGCUAGGGGGCAUAUCGCUUACCGAACCUUAUCAAACUCCGAAUGCCAUAUACAUUUAGUCCGGCAGUCAGACUACGAAUGAUAAGAUCCGUGGUCAAAAGGGAAACAGCCCAGAUCGUCAGCUAAGGUCCCAAAGUGUAAGUUAAGUGGAAAAGGAUGUGGGAUUUCUAAGACAACUAGGAUGUUGGCUUAGAAGCAGCCACUCAUUUAAAGAGUGCGUAAUAGCUCACUAGUCGAGAGAUCCUGCGCCGAAAAUGUCCGGGGCUAAAACUUACCACCGAAGCUACGGGCUUGCGUAAGCAAGCGGUAGGGGAGCGUCGUAAUCGGGCUGAAGUCGUACCGUAAGGAGCGGUGGACUGAUUACGAGUGAGAAUGUUGGCAUUAGUAGCGAGAUGUAGGUGAGAAUCCUACAGGCCGAAUAUCUAAGGUUUCCUCAGGAAGGCUCGUCCGCUGAGGGUUAGUCGGGACCUAAGCCGAGGCCGAAAGGCGUAGGCGAUGGACAACAGGUUGAUAUUCCUGUACCACUACCAUCGUUAUUAUCGAGGGUGUGACGGAGAAGGAUAGUGUGUGCUAGCGAUUGGAAAUGCUAGUCUAAGCGUUUAGGCAGUUACGGUAGGCAAAUCCGCUGUAAUGUUAAUGCUGAGGCGUGAUGGGGAAGGCCCUUGAGGCUGAAGUACAUGAUUCCAUGCUUCCAAGAAAAGCAUCUAGAGAGAGAAGUAGUGCCCGUACCGCAAACCGACACAGGUAGAUGAGGAGAGAAUCCUAAGGCCGGCGGAAGAAUUGCAGUUAAGGAACUAGGCAAAUUGACCCCGUAAGUUAGCGAGAAGGGGUGCCUGCGAGAGCAGGCCGCAGAGAAUAGGCCCAAGCAACUGUUUAGCAAAAACACAGGUCUCUGCUAAAGCGCAAGCUGAUGUAUAGGGGCUGACGCCUGCCCGGUGCUGGAAGGUUAAGGGGAACACUUAGCGCAAGCGAAGGUGUGAACUUAAGCCCCAGUAAACGGCGGCCGUAACUAUAACGGUCCUAAGGUAGCGAAAUUCCUUGUCAGGUAAGUUCUGACCCGCACGAAUGGCGUAAUGACUUGGGCACUGUCUCAACUGCAAAUCCGGCGAAGUUGUAGUGCGAGUGAAGAUGCUCGCUACCCGCGAUUGGACGGAAAGACCCCGUAGAGCUUUACUGUAGCUUAGCAUUGAAUUCCGGUAUUGUCUGUACAGGAUAGGUGGGAGACUGGGAAACUAGGGCGUCAGCCUUAGUGGAGUCAUCCUUGGGAUACCACCCUGACAGUACUGGGGUUCUAACAGGACGCCAUGAAUCUGGUGACUGGACAUUGUUAGGUGGGCAGUUUGACUGGGGCGGUCGCCUCCUAAAAAGUAACGGAGGCGCCCAAAGGUUCCCUCAGAACGGUCGGAAAUCGUUCGUAGAGUGCAAAGGCAGAAGGGAGCCUGACUGCGAGACCUACAAGUCGAGCAGGGACGAAAGUCGGGCUUAGUGAUCCGGUGGUACCUCGUGGGAGGGCCAUCGCUCAACGGAUAAAAGCUACCUCGGGGAUAACAGGCUGAUCUCCCCCAAGAGUCCACAUCGACGGGGAGGUUUGGCAC
This 1683-nucleotide ribosomal RNA is filed under the name human gut metagenome. Its description in RNAcentral is "bacterial LSU rRNA". It matches the Rfam family "Bacterial large subunit ribosomal RNA", at positions 828 to 2524 of the family's 2925-position model. The record is from RNAcentral.